AUUGAACGUUGGCGGCAUGCCUAACACAUGCAAGUCGAACGGUAACGACGGGAGCUUGCUCCCGGGCGACGAGUGGCGGACGGGUGAGUAAUACUUAGGAAUCUGCCCAGUAGUGGGGGACAACAUUCGGAAACGGAUGCUAAUACCGCAUACGCACUACGGUGGAAAGUGGGGGAUCUUCGGACCUCACGCUAUUGGAUGAGCCCAAGUCGGAUUAGCUUGUAGGUAGGGUAAUGGCCUACCUAGGCGACGAUCCGUAGCUGGUCUGAGAGGACGAUCAGCCACACUGGGACUGAGACACGGCCCAGACUCCUACGGGAGGCAGCAGUGGGGAAUAUUGGACAAUGGGCGCAAGCCUGAUCCAGCAAUGCCGCGUGUGUGAAGAAGGCCUGCGGGUUGUAAAGCACUUUCAGUAGAGAAGAAAAGCCUAGGGUUAAUACCCCUGAGUCUUGACGUAACCUACAGAAGAAGCACCGGCUAACUCCGUG
Molecule: ribosomal RNA, 488 nt
Filed under: uncultured bacterium
Lineage: Bacteria
Description: bacterial SSU rRNA
Rfam family: Bacterial small subunit ribosomal RNA
Source: RNAcentral